Molecule: non-coding RNA, 73 nt
Organism: Umbelopsis ramanniana AG
Lineage: Eukaryota; Fungi; Mucoromycota; Umbelopsidomycetes; Umbelopsidales; Umbelopsidaceae
Source: the annotation of a RefSeq genome assembly
GGAGCAGUAGCUUAACUGGUAGAGUCCUUGCUUGUCACGUAAGAAGGUACCGAUUCGAAUUCGGUCUGCUCCG